Molecule: ribosomal RNA, 486 nt
Filed under: uncultured bacterium
Lineage: Bacteria
Description: partial 16S ribosomal RNA
Rfam family: Bacterial small subunit ribosomal RNA
Source: RNAcentral
AUUGAACGCUGGCGGCAUGCCUUACACAUGCCAGUCGAACGGCAGCACGGGUGCUUGCACCUGGUGGCGAGUGGCGAACGGGUGAGUAAUACAUCGGAACAUGUCCUGUAGUGGGGGAUAGCCCGGCGAAAGCCGGAUUAAUACCGCAUACGAUCCACGGAUGAAAGCGGGGGACCUUCGGGCCUCGCGCUAUAGGGUUGGCCGAUGGCUGAUUAGCUAGUUGGUGGGGUAAAGGCCUACCAAGGCGACGAUCAGUAGCUGGUCUGAGAGGACGACCAGCCACACUGGGACUGAGACACGGCCCAGACUCCUACGGGAGGCAGCAGUGGGGAAUUUUGGACAAUGGGCGAAAGCCUGAUCCAGCAAUGCCGCGUGUGUGAAGAAGGCCUUCGGGUUGUAAAGCACUUUCGUCCGGAAAGAAAUCCUUGGCUCUAAUACAGUCGGGGGAUGACGGUACCGGAAGAAUAAGCACCGGCUAACUACGUG